This 76-nucleotide transfer RNA is filed under the name Bacillus anthracis (anthrax bacterium). Its description in RNAcentral is "tRNA-Asn". It matches the Rfam family "tRNA". From Rfam's summary of the family: Transfer RNA (tRNA) molecules are approximately 80 nucleotides in length. Their secondary structure includes four short double-helical elements and three loops (D, anti-codon, and T loops). Further hydrogen bonds mediate the characteristic L-shaped molecular structure. tRNAs have two regions of fundamental functional importance: the anti-codon, which is responsible for specific mRNA codon recognition, and the 3' end, to which the tRNAs corresponding amino acid is attached (by aminoacyl-tRNA synthetases). tRNAs cope with the degeneracy of the genetic code in two manners: having more than one tRNA (with a specific anti-codon) for a particular amino acid; and 'wobble' base-pairing, i.e. permitting non-standard base-pairing at the 3rd anti-codon position. RNAcentral also lists the same sequence under 1 other name. Lineage: Bacteria; Bacillati; Bacillota; Bacilli; Caryophanales; Bacillaceae. The record is from RNAcentral.
UGGGGUGUAACUCAGUUGGUAGAGUAACUGGCUGUUAACCAGUAAGUCGUAGGUUCAAGUCCUACCACCCCAGCCA